RNAcentral lists this ribosomal RNA (250 nucleotides) under uncultured prokaryote. RNAcentral describes it as "partial 16S ribosomal RNA". It matches the Rfam family "Bacterial small subunit ribosomal RNA", at positions 524 to 775 of the family's 1533-position model. The record is from RNAcentral.
UACGUAGGGUCCGAGCGUUGUCCGGAAUUAUUGGGCGUAGAGCUCGUAGGCGGCGUGUCGCGUCUGCUGUGAAAGACCGGGGCUUAACUCCGGUUCUGCAGUGGAUACGGGCAUGCUAGAGGUAGGUAGGGGAGACUGGAAUUCCUGGUGUAGCGGUGAAAUGCGCAGAUAUCAGGAGGAACACCGGUGGCGAAGGCGGGUCUCUGGGCCUUACCUGACGCUGAGGAGCGAAAGCAUGGGGAGCGAACAG